GCUGGUGUUUUAUCUGUGUAUGAACCACCUCUUUCCAUUCCGAACAGAGAAGUGAAAGUGCACAGAGCUGAUGAUACCUGGAUUUAUCCCGGAAAAGUAGGCUAUGCCAGCU
This 112-nucleotide ribosomal RNA is filed under the name Candidatus Harrisonbacteria bacterium CG10_big_fil_rev_8_21_14_0_10_44_23. The record is from RNAcentral. Lineage: Bacteria; Candidatus Harrisoniibacteriota.